UGAUUAAGUAAGGAAGGGCGUACGGCGAAUGCCUGGCCACUCGAAACUGAAGAAGGACGCGCCAAACUGCGAAAAGCUCCGUGAAGCUGUAAGGAAGCGAAGAAGCGGAGGUGUCCGAAUGGGGGAACCCGGCAGCAGACAUGAGCUGUCAUCUGCAGGUGAAUACAUGGCCUGCAAGAGAGGUACCCGGCGAACUGAAACAUCUAAGUAGCCGGAGGAAAAGAAAACAACAGUGAUUCCCUGAGUAGCGGCGAGCGAAAGGGGAGAAGCCCAAACCGGUUGAAGGACCGGGGUUGAAGGACCAUGAUAUGGCAAGAACGAGGAUAGGAGAACGGGAUCGAAAGCCCGGCCGAAGAAGGUGAAAGCCCUGUAACCGAAAUCCGAGUAAAGCCUAAUGGGAUCCUGAGUACGGCGAGACACGAGGAAUCUUGUCGGAAGCAGGCGGGACCAUCCGCCAAGGCUAAAUAUAAACGAGUGAGCGAUAGUGAACCAGUACCGUGAGGGAAAGGUGAAAAGAACCGCGGGAGCGGAGUGAAAGAGAACCUGAAACCGUAUGCCUACAAGAAGUCAGAGCCCGUUAAGGGGUGAUGGCGUGCCUUUUGUAGAAUGAACCGGCGAGUUGCGACAGACUGCGAGGUUAAGGAGGAAAGACCGGAGCCGAAGCGAAAGCGAGUCUUAAUAGGGCGAAAGUAGGAUGUUGCAGACCCGAAACCGGGUGAUCUAGCCAUGAGCAGGUUGAAGUUGAGGUGAAACUCAAUGGAGGACCGAACCGACUACCGUUGAAAAGUUAGCGGAUGACUUGUGGCUAGGGGAGAAAUUCCAAUCGAACCCGGAGAUAGCUGGUUCUCCCCGAAAUAGCUUUAGGGCUAGCGUCGGAAAGAACCUUAGUGAAGGUAGAGCACUGAAUGUGUGAUGGCCCCAUCCCGGGGUACUGAAUACAAUCAAACUGCGAAUGUCAUUAAGGAUGUCCGGCAGUCAGACUGUGAGUGAUAAGGUCCAUGGUCAAGAGGGAAACAGCCCAGACCGCCAGUUAAGGUCCCAAAAUACAGGCUAAGUGGAAAAGGAUGUGGGGAUGCCCAGACAACUAGGAGGUUGGCUCAGAAGCAGCCAUCCUUUAAAGAGUGCGUAACAGCUCACUAGUCGAGUGACCCUGCGCCGAAAAUGUACCGGGGCUAAGCCUGAUACCGAAACUGCGGAUUGUAGGAAACUAUAGUGGUAGGGGAGCGUUGUAUACGAGCNNNNNNNNNNNGUAGGGGAGCGUUGUAUACGAGCAGAAGCCGUACCGUGAGGAGCGGUGGAUUGUAUAGAAGUGAGAAUGCCGGUGUGAGUAGCGAGAUGUAGGUGAGAAUCCUACACACCGAAAGCCCAAGGAUUCCAGGGGAAGGUUCGUCCGCCCUGGGUAAGUCGGGACCUAACGCGAGGCCGAAAGGCGUAGUGGAUGGAAAGCAGGCGAAAGAUUCCUGCACCCGUAUAUGGAGCGAAGGAGUGACGGAGACGGAUAGUGUGACCCUCUUAAUGGAUUGAGGGCGAAGCGAAGCGGCUGGUUACCAGGCAAAUCCGGUAACCGAAAAGGCUAGAGCGUGACAGGUAAGCGAAAUCUUAGGAAAGUAGCGAAGCACAUGAUGACGGCUUCCAGGAAAAGCUUCUGGCAAUGCAUAUGCGGCCCGUACCAAAACCGACACAGGUGGGCAGGGAGAGAAUCCCGAGGUGAGCGAGAGAACUGUUGCCAAGGAACUCGGCANNNNNNNNNNCAAGGAACUAGGCAAAAUAGUCCUGUAACUUCGGGAAAAAGGACGCUCUAGUGAUAGAGCCGCAGAGUAAUGGCCCAGGCGACUGUUUACCAAAAACACAUGGCUAUGCCAAAUCGAAAGAUGACGUAUAUGGCCUGACACCUGCCCGGUGCCGGAAGGUUAAGAGGAGAGCUCAUCCGCGAGGAGAAGGUUUGAAUUGAAGCCCCGGUAAACGGCGGCCGUAACUAUAACGGUCCUAAGGUAGCGAAAUUCCUUGUCAGGUAAGUUCUGACCCGCACGAAAGGUGUAACGAUUUGGGCGCUGUCUCGGCAGCAGACUCGGUGAAAUCUUAGUACCUGUGAAAAUGCAGGUUACCCGCAACUAGACGGAAAGACCCCAUGGAGCUUUACUGCAGCCUGAUAUUGAAUUCUGGUCAUACAUGUACAGGA
Molecule: ribosomal RNA, 2179 nt
Filed under: Odoribacter sp. AM16-33
Lineage: Bacteria; Pseudomonadati; Bacteroidota; Bacteroidia; Bacteroidales; Odoribacteraceae
Description: partial 23S ribosomal RNA
Rfam family: Bacterial large subunit ribosomal RNA
Source: RNAcentral